CCCUUAGAUGUUCUGGGCCGCACGCGCGCUACACUGAUGCAUUCAACGAGUGUACCUUGGCCGAGAGGCCUGGGCAAUCUUUUGAACGUGCAUCGUGAUAGGGAUAGAUUAUUGCAAUUAUUAAUCUUGAACGAGGAAUUCCUAGUAAACGCAGAUCAUCAAUCUGCAUUGAUUACGUCCCUGCCCUUUGUACACACCGCCCGUCGCACCUACCGAUUGAGUGGUCCGGUGAGGCUUUGGGAUCUGAGCGGAAAGAGCGUUUCGCUGUUUCUGCUCGGAAAACUCAGUCGAACCUUAUCAUUUAGAGGAAGGAGAAGUCGUAACA
This 325-nucleotide ribosomal RNA is filed under the name uncultured eukaryote. RNAcentral describes it as "partial 18S ribosomal RNA". It matches the Rfam family "Eukaryotic small subunit ribosomal RNA", at positions 1470 to 1796 of the family's 1831-position model. The record is from RNAcentral.